CCUUUUUCCCGUGUCACAAUCAGAGCGGAGCUUCAUCAAUACUCGAACACACGACCUGAGAACCUGGACCCCCAAAGGUCCAGCACAUACACAAAACAGAGAGUUAGCANNNNNNNNNNNNNNNNNNNNNNNNNNNNNNNNNNNNNNNNNNCCACACUUGAGUAAAUAAAAGUAAGGCAUAAGCAUAUAUGUUCAUACACAAUUCUAUCUAAUAAGCAUACUCAUUAACAAUAUAGCAUAGCGAAUUAGAUAACAAAUACAAACAUAAUUAUCAAAGAAACACUUAUGUUAAAUCAAUGACAAUUAUCAAGCAUCAAGUACAAAGGACACAUAAUUCCUAAAUGCACACUAAUGUCAAUUAGAAAUGUAUGUCUCCUAAUGCAUAUCUAAUGCAUGUGGUACCAUUCCUUUUUUUUGGAUAAACUUAUAUCUCUUUGCAUCUCUCAUUUGCUUACCAAAGCGGUUAUGCAUUUGACCAAUUACAUUGGAUUUCCAACCUUACCAAAGGUCAAUCAUACAACAUGAGUGCAUGAAAUGUUCACAUAGCAAUUAUAUGAUAUUUACACCUACACAUAUACCAAUAUGUAUGUACACUAUCAAUCAUAAUUAUCAUUCCAAUUAAUUAUCAACUCCAUGAUUAAUUAACAAUUCAUAUUAUGAUUCAAUCACAAACAUCAUUGUCAAACAUAAUGCAUUUAUUCCAUCAAUCAACAAUCCAAUUAUCAUUGAAUAGAAUACUAGCAUAUAUUCCUAAUUAUUCAAUCAUUUGAAUUCACAAAACUCAUUUUCUUUCCAAAUCAUGCUUCUAACAUAAUAUAUUCUUAACAAGCAAGCAUUAUUCCAGAAAACUAACUUCAGAUUCGGAAUCUACACAAAAAACUGUGAAAGAUAGGUUCCAGGUGCAUGAACCGUCGGAAAGUCAACACUCAGUCAACAGUCAAGGGGUCAACAGUCAAACUGUCAAACCAACAGUUGCGUCGGUCAUAGCGUCGAUAAGUUUCGACGCAAGGACCUGUUCAUACUGCAUAAUUAUUACGCAGAAGAAUUAGCGACGCCAUAGCGUCGACCUAUUCGACGCAAACACUAUGUUGCAUAUUUUCAGAAAAACGCGUUUUGAACAUGGGUUUGACCCAAAAGUGCUUAUUUUCACCAAAAUCACUUAUUUGAACUUAGGAAAAGCACAUACACUUAAUACCCAACGUAUAACUCAUAUAAAACAACUUAAACAUAAGUUAAAAAACACCAAAUCAUCAAGAUUAAUCAUUUAUCUUUAAGUUAUUAGAUUUUAUCAUAAAUCUCAAAACCCACCAUUUUUGCAAAGCUUGAACAAUCAAUCAAAAGCAAUGACAUCAUAUAUGCAUCAACAAGGAAUAUAAACACAUUCCCAAUUCCCAAAUUAACCACAACUCAUAGAGAUGAAAGAGUUUAGGUAUGGAGAAGAAAGGUUUUUCUCUCCUCUUUAUGAACCAUCUCAAAAUGAAUAAAUUACUACUCUCAUACCUUAUUGAUGUUGGAUUCUCUAGUCCUUCAUCUCCUAGCUCUUCUUCUUCAAUCUUCUCCUCUACUUAGCUUUCCUCUUCACUCUUUGUUCUUUCUCUUCUUUUCUCUUUAUCUAUUCUUUCUUGAGAGCUUCUCUUUCUAC
Molecule: long non-coding RNA, 1642 nt
Filed under: Trifolium pratense (red clover)
Lineage: Eukaryota; Viridiplantae; Streptophyta; Magnoliopsida; Fabales; Fabaceae
Description: long non-coding RNA (TPRA_LNC013076)
Source: RNAcentral